RNAcentral lists this ribosomal RNA (370 nucleotides) under uncultured bacterium. Its description in RNAcentral is "bacterial SSU rRNA". It matches the Rfam family "Bacterial small subunit ribosomal RNA", at positions 527 to 896 of the family's 1533-position model. The record is from RNAcentral.
GUAGGGAGCGAGCGUUAUCCGGAUUUAUUGGGUGUAAAGGGUGCGUAGACGGGAAAACAAGUUAGUUGUGAAAUCCCUCGGCUUAACUGAGGAACUGCAACUAAAACUAUUUUUCUUGAGUGUUGGAGAGGAAAGUGGAAUUCCUAGUGUAGCGGUGAAAUGCGUAGAUAUUAGGAGGAACACCAGUGGCGAAGGCGACUUUCUGGACAAUAACUGACGUUGAGGCACGAAAGUGUGGGGAGCAAACAGGAUUAGAUACCCUGGUAGUCCACACCGUAAACGAUGGAUACUAGGUGUAGGAUGUGAUAAACAUUCUGUGCCGUCGCAAACGCAGUAAGUAUCCCACCUGGGGAGUACGGCCGCAAGGUUG